CAAGAACGCCUCCACCGCCAGCUGCAGGUUGAGCGCCGGCCAUCCCAUCGAGGUGACUUUGUGGGAGGCGUCCCCGCCUGCCCUCUCCCACUUCUCCGUCCACUGCCCCGAUCUCCCAUCCUUCAAUGGCAAUCUGCUUGGCGCGCCUAAAGCCAUCGCCGCCGCCGUCGACGACGCCGACGGCCAGCUCCUCCUCCUCCUCCGAGUCCCCAUCGAUCAGCUUGGUGCCCCGCAUGACAACGACUACUUGGUCUACCAUCCGGAUCCCCCGUCUCCGAAACUGGAUCUGCUCCCCAACCCGCCUCCCCCUACCCUCGGUGACCACCAGCUCGCCAUACUCAGCUGCGGCGACGACCGCUACGUCGUGGCCGCCCUCCACGUCUGGAGUGAGUUCACUUCCACGCUGCGCCUGUACAGAUCUUCUUGUUCGUCUGGGAGUUGGACAUCGGAGGAGGUGUCCGUGGAGGAGCCGGUGAGGGACAGGCUGUGCCCGAUCCCGGACUCAGCCAAGAGGCAGCUGUACCACGUCACCACCAAGACCAUCACGCUCGGAGGUGCGAAGGGCACCGUGGGCUGGGUUGAUCUCUGGCGCGGCAUCCUCCUCUGCGACGUGCUCGACGAAAUGUCUCCAAGGAAGCUCCGCGACAUGCCGCUGCCGUGGCCGGCCAAGGGCAAUUGGAGGAUGUACCUCAAUGGAGAUGUGUCCUUUUGUCGGGACAUCGCCAUCAGCCAACACAAGGAUUCCAUCAAGUAUCUGGAGAUGGAGAUCGUUUCACCAAGAACGGUGACCACCACCAUACCCACCUCCACCUCUGCAGAUCCUACUUCAUACCUUGAAUGGGUUCGCCGCAGCAGAGAACCUCAGCCGACACGGCGACGCUCCGUGUUCCACCCUGGUUCGUGGAGAAUCACUACAUGGAGCAUGCCUAUCCCGGUCACUUCAUGGGACGACUGGCGCCGUGACUGCACUGCUGAAUCGCGUGAAGUCCAUCUUGACACCAACCCAAGUCACCAUUACGAGUUGCUUCAUAGCCUCAUGCUCAGCAACAGCGGUGAUGAACACAGGGAGGAGGCUCAAGGUCAAGGGGCAACCUCUUCCUUGUCCCUAGGUCGCCUGCGUUUGUGUUACCCGGCCUUGAGUUGCAUCGAUGAUGAUGUUGUUUACCUCUUGGGCAACGCUGCUGGCAGGGGUGCUAAGACGGGAGGAAUGAUGGUCGCUGUUGACGUCAGGAACAAGGAGCUGCGAGGAGUGGCCAAGCUUGACCCCGAAAAGAACACCCUCUACUCCAUGCGAUGCUACCUUGCAACUGGGAUCUCCAAACGCCUCAACACUACCACAGGUACUUAAUUACCGCUCGUAUUCCAGAACAAAUGCAGCGCCAUGUGCAUAUGGGUAAUAAAAUGCCAUUUAAGGAUCUAGGGCUGAUCAUUAUAGUUCUUUGUUUAUGAUGGUCCGAAUGACCAAACUAGGACUAGAAUGUAGUAACUUUAUUUAGGGUGAUAGGCUUGAUAUGUUGAUACAAGGGCAGAACAGUACCAAGAGUCCUUUUGGCAGAGUAGUACCAAUACUCAUUAUGCAAUAUACUGUUUUGUGUGAGUUUCAGACAAACGUUGUGUUUCUAACUGUACUUGCAAAAACAAAACCUGAACUCUGUUAACAGAAUAAAGACACCUCCACUAAAAUGUCGACGACUAAUGCAUAAAAUUAUUUGCGUUCUUCGUGAAAAUUCAUAGCAGUAAAUGUGUCGUCACUCUUGUUUCCUUGUCAUUAUGCGUGUAAUAUAUUUUGCUAGCAUGCAUUUAAAUAUGAAGUAAUUAAUCAAAGUGCAUUCGUACCAUGUCAAAAGAACAAGAGAAUAGAGCAAGUAAUAAUAAGGUAGUACUUGACCAAAGCAUACUUGAAAAAGUAGUAUAUUGCUUUAGGUUUUGCUUUUCCUGUUGUACUCAAUGUGGACAACAUGAAUGCUCUUCCUCUUGAGUACUAAUUCUUGCUUCAAGGACAUUUUAUGAGAUAAUAGCUAUUUUAUUUGAUGUAGACACAAGAGUUGGACGACCUGAGGAGGAUGCAGAAGCCGCCGAGUAGAAUGUGCGAACCCAGUGACAUAUAUGCAUCAUACUGCAGCCUGCCUGGAUGCAAAUAUUAUCGUAUCAGUGGUUUGUUGGCUUGAAUGGGGGUUAAGGAGUUGUGCUGUUGCUGGGCAUAUAUAGUUUUGUGACAAGAAUCUUAUCCAGGUUGCUUACUUUGGGUUGAUGAUAAAAGUAGGAGUAGACGUGAAUAACAUUAAUAUAUGUUGGCUUAUUUUUUGAGGGGAUGUUGGCUUAUUUAUGUGGCACUAAUUGUCUUUAUGCCUUUGAGUUAAACACAAAACAAUGAUCCAACUCUUUGAACCUGUUUGUUUCAAGUAAUGAGUUGAUGAAUUUUUCACCACUUGGAGUCCUCCCUCAAACUGGAUCUGCUCCCCGCUGCCUCAAACUGUUUUUUUUUUUUGAACGAAUGUGUUUUCUAAGUUCAUUCUCAGAACAAUGCCCGCCAUCAGAUUCAUCGACUAGCAUAGCAAGACAGUAUAACUUUUUACCAAAGAAAACUGAUUAUAUAGUAUAUAUAGAAUACUUGUCUUACACACAGUGACAAUCCAACAAUAUCUAUGCAACAGGAAUAAUAUGUUAGUGUGCAGAUCAUACCCUCUCAACUCUGAACUCUUCUGCAGCAGGGAGUUCAAGAUAUAUUUUGUACAUAGCUGACAGUGCACCAUUCCGGACAGCGGGACAGAGAAGCUCCAAUCAAAAGUCUCCGAUGUUCUGUCUUAUCUUCUAGGUUUUCGGGCUUGGCUCAAUUGGAAAGGCCCAAUUGAUUUUGGGCUUGAGUACAACGCAGCAUAAGGCGCCACCGAUUAGGCCCAAGUACAGGUAUACUCAAUUAAUUACCACUACUACCACUACAGGUAUACUCAAUUAAUUACCGCUCCUUGUUGUCAUGUCUGUUAUUUGCGUGCUGUUCUACGAGAGAUUAAUCUCUUUGGCUUAAAUUUCUGUCUCAAUUCUUAACAUGCAUAACAGAUUUUAAUCGGUCAAUAUAUAAGUUAGGCUAAACUUUGUUGUGUUCCUUUGCUUGCCGGCAUGUAAGUUCCGAAGAAUUUUGUUUAAACUCUACAAUGUUUGGCCAAGAAAAUUUCUCAUAUCUAGCUAAGAAGAACUAAAAGGAAAAGAGCUGCUGCUCUUGUUCGCCAGUAAUCUGCAUCAAUGGAUAGUGUAUACUGAUCAUUCCGGCGUUGACAUGGCGAAAAGUAUUUUGUCAAUAGGAAGGAGGAGAAUCACACGCCAAGUGCAUGCAUGAUUUUUCAAUUCAUUUCAAGGCAAAGUUUCUAGACAAAGCUAGGUUCUCGAUAAGCCGGCCACUUUGAUUUGAUGACAAUUAGGUUAAUUAAGGCAAUCUUCUUGCCUUUCCUUUUCUAUCAAUAGUGGACAAAGGUGAGAGCUGAUAUUUAUUAUAUCCUGUUAGCCAUUCAGAAAGUGCUUUCCAUGACAUUCCAAACGAAAUGAUAUUUUUCUCAUGUUCAGUCGGCCAUGCAUCUUCAGUUUAACUAAACAAGACAAAAAAAAAAAAAAACUUAUAUCCAACAUAAGAUAUAUAUGCCCUAUGAGCAUAAACGCACUCAGUGAUAAAAUAUACUAGUAAGAGGUAAAGCUAAGGUGAAUGCUGACAAGAGACAAGCCCAUCUGUCCCUCAAAGAUAACAAAUACUACUACUGAUUGAAACAAAAUUAAAGCAUGAUAGCCACUUCUGAAUUUCUGAAUGGCUGAAGGGGAAAAAAAUUGAACAGGAUACUGCAUGCUGAUCGAGUUGAACAAGUAAGAAAAGGUGUUCAUCUUUGCAGAGACAAGAUCUAACACAUUUCUAACUGCAGAGGUAGUUCAUAGCAUCCAUCGAUCACCUACACACAAUAUCCUCUCUCAUGCCUGACCCCUGCACAAACGCACACCGGAUUGCAAAUACACAUAAUUUAGAUCUUUCUAAUGAUUUUGUAUCGUCAGAUAAUCUUGCUUGUUUUGGUCGACCUUCAGAAUUGAGUUGAUGAAGUUCGUCGCAGUGAGCUCUUUGUAGGCAUCACCAGUGCAGCAAAUAGAAGAUGAAUUACAAGACUUACCUGUGAUGAAUUACAAGACUUACCAGGCAUCACCUGUCAAAUAAUCCAUUGAUGAAGUUAGUUUAGAAACUCAAGAGAGUACCGUUAUAAAUGCAGACUUAACAUCAAGGCUAGCACAAAUAGAAGAUGAAUUACAAGACUUACCUGUGAGAAUGAAGAUAAGUUGAAAAGUUGAAGGAUAUUACUGUUAUUGUCAAGGACAUGGGAGGACCAGAGAGCUUACCCAGUCAUUACAAUUUAGAGAUGAACCACAGAUUUGCAUAUGGAAAAUGAUAUAAAUGAUAUAAGAGGUUUGCAAGAUGAUCUGAGAUCUAGCAAUGAGAAUUUGCUAAGAGAAGAAAGACUGAUAUAAGAGCUUUAGUCUAUCCUUGCAAGCCUGACUUCGAAACUUAGUCAAAAGAGUAUGGCCGUGCUUUUCAAUUUCUUAUGUAGUCUUAGCUGCCUCCAAUUUGUUCACUUGUUGGAUAGAUUAGGUAACAUAAAUUUGAUUGAUUUUCCUGAUGAUCAUAGAUUUGUUCACCUCCUCCGCCAUCUUGUGCCUGGCGCCGCCUCCGUCUUCGGUUUGCAAACGUGAACACUGGCAUCACCUACAUGAAAAAUCAAAUGGUUAAUGGUGUGCAACACUGUCAACUUUAAGGUGAAUUUGUGUCAACAAAAUUUCAGUCAAGCUGCACAAAAGAUUCAAAAGUCCCUGAAAUAAAUUGAGAUAACAAACAAUCCUCCAUGCAUAACAGUAUUGAGUACUGGCCCCAUUCGAGUUUAAGAUAAAAGAUUAAGUUCGGACAGGUAAAACGAGAAAAUCAUUAACAUCUCACUAAUUAAGGUUUAAUUAUUUUAAAAUUGAAAAAUAGAUUUAUCUUAUAAUUAAAGCUUCUAUAUAAAUUUUUUUCGUUCGAAAUAUACAGUUCAACAGUUUAAAAAAACGAAUUUAUAAAAAUCUAGGUAAAAUCUGUAUCUUAAUCAGAAAAAGAAAAAUAGAGGCUGAAGAAGCCUUGAGAGAGCAGUAGAGUAUGGCACUGGGAUGAUGCCAAACUGCUUUCAGAACCGAUUCACUGCUGCUGUUGGCAUCUGCAGAUUUGAUGAGUUCAGCUCCAAAAUGAAAUCUGCAUAAGCAAAGCAUCAUGAGUUCUGAAAAGCGAACUGUUUUUUUUUAAAAAAUCUUACAGAUAUGAACUGUAUUACAAGCAGCUGCGAAGCCACAAACCUAUAGCUCUGGCAAAUCCAUCUGGGCAGCACCGAGUCGCCGGCGCGUGCUGCGUGGCGGCGGCAACGCCGGGAGGGACGAGGCGGGAGGAUGAGAGCACCACGGCAAUCCUCUGCACCGAUGAGAUGAUGCUGCACAUGUACUGCUGCGCCAUGGCGGGCACGCUGCCCUGCAGGUGGCUCUCGAACGCGAACUGGAACGCGAUCGUCAUCACCGCCUUGGAGCUCGCCGCUGCUAUUGAUGCCGCUGAUCCUGCUCCAUGGCGUCGCUGCUUCGAGCAUGGAAGCGAGAUCUAGCAUGCAGUUCGAGCUAGAUGUGUCCUAACAUUUGCAAGGAAAGAAAAUCCAGAAGAAUUAUGUUUUUUAUAGCAUAAAAAUUUUAGAAAAUUUGAUUCGAAAUGCUAGUGUAUUAUCUAAUUGUGUGAGAUUUACUUACAGAGGAGAAUCGAUAGGGAUGAUGUAGAAACCGGAAGGCAGCAGCGGAGAAUCAUCACUGAACGAUGCAUCGAUGGGUGCAAAGAUUAGCUCUGAACAUGUUCCUGCACUGCUCUCCUCUACUCCAUUGUACAUCUGCCAUUGCAAUCAGGCCAAGAACACAAGUUUUACAGAGGAAAAAAGAAAAUGAUUCUUCAACUGGUGAUAAGUUUCAUGAAUCAAGAAGUCACCUGCAAGAGGAACAGAUCACGGUGCACCAGUGUAUCUUGGUAGUUUCUGGUGUUUCCUAGCUUGAUAACUUCCAGGAACUGAAACAGUAGAUGGUUGCACCAAAACAUCGAGCAGGAAAACAGAAUUGGACAGGACCUUUUUUGUAACCGACAGACAGUAGAAGAUGGACUUACCUCUGCAGGUUCAAAAGUGUGUGCUAAAGGAAGUAUGACCUGACCACUGAAUCCUCCAAGACGAGACAUGGGUAAAUUGCAGAAGUUUGGUUUCAUCGUCAGCCCAUUGUGACUGGUGUUCGCGCAAAAAUUGCAGUAGUGAUGGAGGAGAGACAUCCUAGCAAACAGCAGAAGAAAUAUUGUAUGAAAAAUAUUGGCAAUUACAAAACAAACAAAAAGAAAGUACUAAUUCUAGUUUCAUAGUGAAGCUAACCUGCAACAGCAUGGAUGCCUUGGCACAAAGAACACCGGUACUGACAAUAGUGAGUCCACUGCUGAAUGUUGCAUUGCAACCGGUCACUUUGGAUGAAUUGACAGAGAUGCAAACAUCGUCGAUGCCAUCGCUCUCGAUCACGGACCAUCCAUCAUCCGCAAGCCCAUUGAGAACUUCAUUGAAGCCUCUGAAAAGAGAGCAUGCAAAAUUAUUUUUCACACUUUUGAACUGAAGAUUCAUGGCAAGAACCAAGAAGCAUCUGCUGUUCAGGAGUCCUACGUGGUGAGCUUUUUGGCUCAGAGCAUGCAAAGCCGCAAGCUUCCUUCCCCAUCCUGUGAUCACAGAACGGGUAUCUUUGUAGGCAACCUGCCUCAGGCAGCGUAAAGACUGAAUUUUGCAUGACUGAAUUAGGCAAUAAUUUUUACAAAUCAACAAGAACAUCAAGAACAGGGUACUAUAAUUACUGUACCGCCAUCGAUAUCUUCUGCGCAACCAAGGCAGAAGAUUCAUACAGAGGUCGCACAACUUCAGGCACGCUCCAAGGCUGUGAACACAAAAAAAUUGGCUGAAAUUUCUUUCUGCUAGAUGAAUGAACUAUUUGGAUAAGAAAUUGUAAUGGUUAUUAGUUAUUACCUCCAGGUCCAUAUGAUCAACGAUGUGUAUCACGCUGCCUCCACCAUCGCUAGGUCGGAUCAAGAACCCACUGGGAAGCAUCUCAUCUCUGAUAAAAGGCUGGACAAGUGGCAUGCUUGGGCCUCCUUGCUUGCUACUGAGUGAUCUCUCACACACCUUCAGAAUUCAGAACAAGAACAUUCAGGCAAGCAGACAAGACAUCAUAGUGACACACAAAUACUUUGGUAUUAAUUGCACAUCAGCACAUGGAUAAUUUGUUUUGCGCUCCAUGAUCAGACAACUAACCACUAAGCUUCCAUCACCGAGAAUGGAGGUGUACCGCAGCAGCCAGAAGUCGUGAGCCGGCGCCAGCGUCGUCGGAGCAUAGAGUUGAAGACUGAAUACAGAUUUCAGCUUCGGAAUUUCAGGUUGAGCUAAGAAUUUGCCACAAAAAUUUUCAGGCUUGUCUGUUCUUGCCUGCAUGUAGAGCAGCUUGACCUUCCAUUUAGCACAACACUAAUGAGUUAAAUCAGAACAUGAACAACCAGACAACUACCCUACCCCUGCAUCAGAAACAUGAAGCUGCACAGAUAAGUUUUUAUCUCAGUCGUCAUAAAGCAGUGAAGAAAAUCAAGCAAAAAAUGUAAUUGCACCAACGAGUGAGAUGGACAGAUUGUUGCACCUCAUUAAAAAUAAAAAGCCCCAAACCUCCUCUAAGUCAAUGAAAAUUAUAGGGAAUGCAAUAAGCCACGAAAUAAUUGCAUGCUAGAAAAAAGUGGCUUGAAUAAACUAAUCUGAGAGCUCCAGUCCACGGUUGGUUUCUCUUAAACAUUGAAUUAUAUGAAGGCCUCUAUUCAAUGGGUUUAUUAGUAUCAACUUGCAUUUAACAGGAACAAUGGCCACUACAACUGAAACAAUGGUACAAUACGAUCAUCAAAGAUUCAAAGUUGUCAAGCUCUGUGACCAAUAGAUACUUACCUUUUAAUUGAGUUGCCAAUGCCCCAACGUUAUAGCCUGAUCCUUACCUUUCGGCUUCUUGCUAUUACCACCCUACUACAAUGCUAUUUCUAUCACCUGAAACAGUAAGAAUCAUGGAAAAAAGAUUCUCGGUUAAUGAUGGCAAGGAUUGAGACUCUGACUGUCCAAAAGAAAUAGUUCAUGCAGCAAUAAGAAAUUAAAAAUCGGCAUCAAGUACACGAGAUAGCCAAAUAAUGGAUCAGGGAAAUGACAUUUAUUUGAUCCCUGCAAAAUUUGCACAUGAACAUACUACUUGCCUAUAGAUGAUGGUGGUGUGGCCGUGUGGGCAAUAUUGGGUGCAUAUGAAAAUGCUGCAAGAAAAAAAAAGGGUGCCCUUUAUACCGAUCAAGAAAAAGAAGUGCAUUUUAGCUUGAUCAAGAACUAACCCAAAAGCAGGCUACUCGUCAACACUGUUUCACUCCCUCUCAGUGAUAUGUGUUCAUGUCUAUUCGGCCAGCAAGCACAUUGCGUUCGUCAAUACAUGCUGUCACUGCCCUUUUGAUCGCCCGCAGAAGAGCCACCCCAGCAUGCACGCAGACAACAAGACAACAACAAGCUUUGAGUUGAAGGGAAAUCCAGAUUAUAUAUUUGAUAUUAGUUAAUUCAGUGUCUCAAAAAAUAUCAUCAACUCCAAUUUGAUGACCAAAAAUCCUCUGCAAAACUGAUAAUUUUACAACCUUGAUGCUACAGAUCAAAUAACAGGACUGAAUGUGCCCUAGCUCCAAAUAUCACAAUAUAGGUGGUAUGUGUUCCUAUCGGGCUAACCUCACCUACUUCAGGGAAGAAAUUGGUCAGCAGCCAUACUUGGAUAAUGGCAGCAUGACCGUCGCCGUGGCCUCGCACCGCCAGUGGCCGGCGCACGCGCAACACACCAGGUCCUUCCGCUUUGGUCACCACUUGCCACUCUUUGCCUCCAUUAAUGACACCACCUCAGCGACUAGCCACCAUAGGUUUGGCCCCAACAAUCACUUGAAAUGAAAGUUGAGAUUACAAAUACGGCAAGCAGGAAAGCCGGUGAAAUCAAACUGCAGCAUCAUGCCAUUCUCCUCUCAAAUAUGGCCGUAAAGCAACACAAGAAGGGAUGUUUUUACCUCUCAAAUCUGUUUGCCGACACCGCCGCUGUGGUGGAGGAGGAGGCCACCAUGUAACACAGAACAUGUAACACAAGAAGGAUGGCAGUGUUUUAUCAGACUUGAUUUGUACCUGAAGGGCGGCAUGUUGGUGGGGAAUGCGUAGAUGCAGAGAACCAUCUCCAUCGGCCGGCAUGCUUGGUCCGCCACAAACCGCACCGGAUCUCAUCGCUGUGUUCUUGUAUCCGCCCCUGCCGAGGUCAGAGCACAAUCCACACCGCUGCUGAUUUACUCCAAUCCAUUCUUUCUAUGAAAAGAAGAAAAUCGAAAUAUCAAAAAAGGAACACAAAACUGAGUUCAACUUCAACCGCACAUCAUUAUGCACGCUGCAAACCUUACCUCCGUGAGACACGCACCAACAGCGGGAAACACGACGAUGAUACCAGCAAUGCAGCACCAAAGGAUGGGGAGAAGCUGUGCCGCCAGUCGAUCUGCGGCGCCCUCGCUUGAUCCGCCGUUGGUCCCAUUCGCACGAAAGGGGAAGAAAUGAAGACAUCAACCGAAGAGGCAGGGAGGGGAGAAGACAGAGCGACGCGACGAGGCGAGGACGAAGAAAGUAUUGGGGUGGAGGCGCUCGAGGAUGAGGAGGCCAGCGCGAGCUCGCAUCCGGCGCUGCACCCGUCCCCCGCCGCCUACGCCGCGAACGCCGCGGCCGUGAGGACAAGGAUGAGGAGGAAGGUGGAAGCUUCCACGGCGGGAGGUCGCUCGUGACGAAACCCUAGCGACGGGGCGGGGACGGGGAUGGGGGCGGCGACGCGAGGCGUGGACGGGGGCAGUGGUGGCCGGCAACGGAGGCGGUGAAGGGCGGAGAAUGGACCGGCGGCGGAGGAGGAGGAUGGCUGAGGGAGAGGGAGGAGGGGCGGCGCGCGGGGCGGCGGCGGCGGCGGCGACGCGAGGCGGGAGAAGGAGAGGGAGAGGGCGAGACGGGGGACGGGAGGGACGAGGAGACGAGCAGGCAGCGGCGGGCAGGUUGGGGGCUUGGGGCUGGGCGCACGGCGUUUUUGCGAAAAAGACCCUCGUCUUUCAAGUUUUACAGCGCGACCCUAACUCGCCACAUCUCCCUUCCUCCUAUGCAAUAACUGUAUUCACCAGAGGCCUAAACGUAAAUAGACAACUCGGUGGGACUGUUCAUGGAGGACGGCGGCCGAAUUACGCGCGAAGCGGAGGGCCUUUUCACAAAAAUGCCACCCCGCGCGCUGUAUAUACUGUAGCAAAAUCCUUACGUGGCACCCCUCCUCGCUCGCCCCAUGUGCGCCGCUUUAUAUAUUCCGAUUCCGAUUCCGUUUACAGGUGGAAUUAAUCACCUGUGGUGUGAACACAUAGGGAAGCAGGGGAGGGAGCUCCUGCUCCUGCAUGACGUCAUCCGGCAGCGGUAGCGCGGUCCUCAGCCACGCCCUUUGCGGCACGGCCAGUGGCCUCCGUCCAAGAUCCCCUCGGUGCCGCGGCUUGGGGAGAGAGGCGGCUGGCGAAUCAAAAGGCAGGCAAAGACGGACGUAGCGAUGCACGUGAUUUCACCCUCCCCAUCCCCAAGCACGGCAACCGAAUUCAUCGCCACAUCCAGCGACGAGGUGAAUCUGUGCCACUGCCGCCGAGCUUGAGGGGAGAGACGCACAGAACAGCGCGCCGGCGCGUGGGAGGGUCGGCCUCGGGCGCCGGAGGGGCGGAGGUGGAGCUGGAGCUGGAGCGUGAGGAGGAGGAAGAGGCGGCGACAUCGGCGUAGGUCGACCUCCGACGAAUGAGGCGGAGGAAGCGGGGGCGGGGCUGCCGGCGGAGAGAAGGGCAUAGCAGGGUAUAACUUUUUCAAAAAGACCCCUAAAACCUCACAUAUUACAAAGAGGUCCACCGCAGCUAUUCCACACCGUUGAUCAUCGAUCCGACGGCUGAGGGAGAGGACUAACGCUGGAAUCGUAUUGUGCCACGUGGAGGGGUUGUUUGCACGCGAAUCGGCAGAGAUUUCGAAAUUAGAGAUUACGCCAAUGCAUCAGGUACAACAUUUAUAUCAUCCACGUAUACGUGGAAUAACUGUAAAAAAACAUUUGUGAUUAUUAUUUUUUAAUACUAAACUGCUUAAAAAUCGAUCAGUUAAAUUUAUCCACCGUAGUACAAUCGUUACGCUAACGCGUCAGGAACAUCGCUCAUAUCAUACACAUGUAAAGUGGAAUAUUUUAAAAAAAACUUUGUGAUUAUUAUUGAAAUACUAGACUGUUUAAAAAAUUGUUCAGUUAAAUUUUAUCCAUCGUGACAUCACUCUGUGCGCAAAUAUAGAGCAUAUUAUUUAUCUAAAAACAAACAAUUUUUUUUGAGCAGAUUAGUUCUCUAAACCAAACAAUACUUUUUGAUCGCUAUACACACUCCGUAAACACCCGGUGCAACGCACGGUCACUUUUGCUAGUCUAUAUAUAUAUAGCAUGUAGAUUCGAUAGUAAACAAUUUACUAGUAAAUUUGGGAGGGGUAGGGGGCGCCGGUGGUUGGGGUGCACGGGGGUGGGUUGGGAGGGGUGGGGGUAGGAUGUGAGGGGGAGCAUUUUAGCUACUACGUACGCCAGAUGCGGUAUAGUAUGUAUAUAUAUAUAUAUAUAUAUAUAUAUAUAUAGUAAAUUUGUUAGGGGCACCAUGGUGCCCGGGCUCCAUAGCCAUCCACCGUCCAAAUGCUUUAAGAUCCGUGCAACACACUAGAGGAUGCUAUCACACAUUAACGGGUCUAACCCGAUAAGAGUUGCAUGCAUAUACUUUCCUUAGAACAUGCAUGCAGGUAUUUCCAUUUUUACUGUGCAUGUAUUUCCAAAUUUGCGCCCUCUAAUCAUGCAUACACAUUAUGAUUAGCACUUUCCAUUUUCUAUAUCACAUUUCCAUAUAUACAACGUUUGCAUGCAGAUACUUACCUUUUGAAUCAUGAUUCGUUUUUGAAAAAUGACGCCAUUCCACUAAUUGCGAUUAUUGCCAUCUAUUUUCAAGAUUACAUUCCAUUUUCAAGAUGCACAUAUAACCGGCUACUGUAUUCCUUUUUUUGAUUUUUCUUUUCCACACUGUUUCACGGUCCAAGAGCUAGCUAUCCACAUCGUCUUCACCGAGUUACCUCGCCGGGAUUGCUCGCCAUGCCGUGAAGAGGGCCGACGUCCGUGGUUUUCGUCACCGACGACGUUCGUCCACAAGCCUCUUGCUGGAAACCAGAACUCCUCAACCAUUUUUGUCAAGCCAUCACAGCGCCUGAUGUCCAAGUGCCUUUUCGCUGCCGUCGCUGGUUGUUCGUGAGCUUCGGAACAGACAUUAUUCACUAGCAAGCUGCAUUACCUGAAAGGUAUGGAUCUCAGUGUUUAUCACUCACACAUCUUACAUUCACAUGCAGUCCCUGUUAUGUAUAGAUGAUUCGCCAUUCCUCUUCUUUUUAUCUACUAAACUGAGCACAUGAUGAAUCACCUGGAACCUAAAUUUAUAGAUUUUUUGUUGAAAUGCAGUUGAAUUUAGAUUGUUUUAGGUAUAUAACAUGCCCGUUCGAAUAUCUUGAUUUGCAUCCAGUGAAUAAAAUUUAGGUAGGUAGUGAAACAGCAGCAAUGUCUCUUUUACGUGGACAUCUCAAUUAUAAUCUUUGUAAAUAUAGAUUUAAUUAAUUUUAAAUUGAAGUAUAUGACCCGAAGAGAAUCAUAUUGCUUGUUUUAAUAAUGGUAGUUUUUAAUAGCAUGCCGCGGCUUCCAAAGUGUGCGAGCAUGAGAAGAAAUGUGAAGCGUCGUUCCAUUCACGAUGAUGAUGACUUUGUCACUCCACCUACAAGGAAGAAGGCUGUUCGUGUUAAAUUCGUGGCACCGGUUUCGCGUUGUGUACCAUCUUCCAUCACACCUAUCAUACAGAGAUUUAGUGCUGAAAAGAAAGAGCUGGUAGCUGAGAUAAUUAUGUCAUUCAUCUUGUGGGAUAUACAUGUAUACGUGUUCGCUCUGUCACUCAUAAACCUAUGUGUACAUGUACACCUGUAAAAGUACAGAUUAUGUCAUUAAUCUUGUGGUAUUCAGACGUGCAUUUUUUCACUCUCUCUCUAUCCCGUUGACUAUGGCCAAUUAGUACCGAAAUCACUCGUUGGUUACUAAAUUAAUCAAUUGAUACCCAAUUCUGACUGGAUCGAUCCAUGCUGACGGUAACAAAUUAUAUUAUGUAACCUAUCGGUCGUAAUAGCUAUAAAUAUUACCAUAAAUAAGAUCUUUAUACUUGGUAAUGAUAUUAAUUUUUUCAUUCCUUCCAACGGAGACACAAUUGCAACAUAUAAAGAGCAGAACAAUACGACUCUGCUCACUUCUGGUGCUCUCUCUGGUUCUCGCCAACAACACAUUUCUGUUCCAGGUAUGGCUCCAACUUAUCUGUACGUAUAUGUACUUCUCAUAUAUGUUGACCUCUUCUUAGUAUUCUGAAAUUUAUACUUAUAUUGCCAGUAGCUAUGGACAAGAUGAACACUAGUGCCCGGAGCGAGAAGAUCGAUCAGUCGCUGCAGAAGUAUGAUCACCCACGCUGCCGUUGGCACAUAUUAUUUGGUACGAAGUCAGAACUACACAACUUAUAUCAUGCACGCACAGCAAGUGAUUUUGAAGAUACUUGGACGGCCCUAGUCAAUGAGUAUGGUCUUCAAGAGGAGAAUGCAUAUCUCCAAAAGGCGCAGAUGUUAAUAGACGAUGAAACGAAGCCCAAUGAUUCACAGGUAAUUUAUUUUAAUAUAUUUUUGGUUCACGUUCAGCUCCAGUUCUGGAUUUGUCACUCCUGCUCUUAACAUUUUCCACUUGUUUUUUUUUCGUAGGAGAUAGAUACAGACCGUAAAGAUGUCAAGAGGGAGGUGGAGGCUCCUAAGUUGAUCAUUUCUCGUCAUAGUGAUGAUAAAUUCUCAUCCUAGUGAUGAGAAAUGAGACUCGCCCACCGUCUGAAUAGCAAACAUGAGGCAACAUGCAAGUACCAGCCGAAAAUCAACUCUCUGAUGGUGUGAUAUGGUUGCCAGCCAUCGGUCAAAUAAGCAGCCAUUUUGUGUUUUUACAUUUAUGAAUCACAAUCGUACUGUAAUAAUAAACUAGUUACAUCUAUAUUUAUAUUUAUAGAUCGUUUUUACUUUAAUUAGCAUAUGUUUCAUUUAUAUUAUGCUAAACUCCUAUGAUAUGUGGAUGAGCCAAUUCACCGAUAUUUUGUUUCCUUUCAGACUUCACUUAAGAGAUCUACUCUUCCAAUUCAGCAUAUUAAACUUCUAAAAGCGCAUCUAAAACACUGUGGAAAGAAAUUGAAUUUAAUCUAAAUCGGCACAUAUGGAAAAACAUGGUGGAAAUAAUAAUACACAGUACACACAUUUAAAUUUUAGAUAUACUUAAAAUCCAUGGUACAAAAAUAUACUUGGAUAUAUUUAUAUUAAAUUUUACAUCCGGACGUAACGACUUAAAAUAUACUUGGUUCCAAAUUUAAUUAGGAAAUAAUGUACUGUCAGCCUAGGUAGGCGAGUUUUAAAUUCUAAUAAUCUACAGUACACACAUUUGAAAUAUAGAUAUACUUAGAAACCAUGGUAUACAAAAAAUAUGCUUGGAUUAAUUUAUAUAAAAUUUUACAUCCGGACGUAAUGACUAAAAUAUACUUGGUUCCAAAUUUAAUUAGUUUCCAAACUUACUAUUUACAACAAUAUUAAAUGACAAUAAUAAAAUAUACCGUGUACACAAAUUGUAAAUUUAUAUACGCUUGGAUUCAUAAUAUAAUUAAAUUAACGUAAUUUAAAACUUUGUAUACUUAACAAGUUAGCUAAGUAUAUAGAAAAAAUAACCCGUGUAUACAUAGCCAUUACAUUACAUAAAUGAGUAAACAUUUUCUGAAUCUGGAAAGUGCAAAACGCACUAAUUUAGCUAGGUGUACAUAAGCAUACCAUAUACUUAGCCUCCAUAUAUACUUAUAUUCCAAUUACAUCGUUCAUGGUGUACUUAGGGUACCUCGGUUUCCUUAUAUAAUUAUUUUCAAAAUAACAGCAGGAUAACAUUUCCAUAUAUACUACAUCGUAGAAGUAUACUUAGAUUUUUCAUAUACCCUAAUAAACCGCAUUAUAUUUGUUGCCAAAUAAACCGCAAAUCCAUGAUUAUGGUGACAAAUAUUUAGAAACCAAAUAACGGCCGUGAACUGUUGAUGGAAAGGUAUUAAAGACGCUAAAUUGAUACUCCUAAAUAUUUUGCAUGCAUGCACACGCUGUCAAUUACCAAACCUAGGUAUUAAAGACGUUACUAAAUAUUUUGCAUGCAUGCACAUGCUGUCAAUUUCCAAAUCAAAUGUACUUAACGGGUGAACCCGUUAAUCAAAUAUACAUGUACCGAUCAACUAGAUGAGAAUGUGAUCCAACGGCAGAUGUCAGUGGUGCCCGGGCACCAUGGAGCCCUAUCUGGUUUAGGGUUUAGGGUUUAUAUGUAUGUAAAAUUGAUCUGGAAUGUGGCGGUUACAUGGGCCUGAACUGAUGUGAGGAGAAAAUUUGUUCUACUUGCUAGGACAUGAUAUGAUCUGGACAUGAAAACGGAAAACGUGGAGCAAUUUGGGAGGGGGCGAUAUGGAGGAAUCGGACCGGAAAAUCGUAAAAAAAUACGCACAGGGAGGAAAUGAAAUUGGACUGCGCAGCGCAUUAUACUGGGACAACGUACAAAAAUACUUGGCAAAAGCAUCUUAAACAUUUAUGAUAGGUAAAGAUCUACAUAUUUCAAUAAAAAAAAGUCCUACCUAAAAUUUAAAACUAACUCAAAAUUUGAAAACUUUGAACUCUCAACAUGAAAUUUGAACUUUCAACUCGAAUUUUGAAACUUUCAACCUGAUUUUAAAAACUUUCAACUUGAAUUAUGAAAACUUUCAACUGGGAAUUUAAAAACUUUUAACGCGAUUAAAAAAAUUUCUAACUCAAACUUCUAAAACUUUCAACUCGAAUUAUGGAAAAUUUCAACUGAAAAUUCAUGAUCUUUCAACUAUUUUUUAAAACUGUGAACUAUCCUUAAAAAAAAUAAUUAUUGAUGUAUUUUUUUUAAAAAAAAUAUUACUCCAGUACAUAUUACCAUUAGCGCUAAUUAGGUCAUUUGCGGACUAAUCACCCCGGGUGCGGGCAUCCCAAAUAAAAGCCUUCGCUCCACCCGUCUACGUCUGUUUGUUGUAUUCCCCUUCCUUACCCCCAAAAUCGAAAUCCCUAAUUCGACGCCAUGGCCGCGACUGGCGGCGCCGCCGGGGAGAAGACGGCCAGCAGCCUCCUGCUCGGCGUCCGGGGCUACACGUCCACCCUCAAGAACGCCUCCACCGCCAGCUGCAGGUUGAGCGCCGGCCAUCCCAUCGAGGUGACUUUGUGGGAGGCGUCCCCGCCUGCCCUCUCCCACUUCUCCGUCCACUGCCCCGAUCUCCCAUCCUUCAAUGGCAAUGUGCUUCGCGUGCCUGAAGCCAUCGCCGCCGCCGUCGACGACGCCGACGGCCAGCUCCUCCUCCUCCUCCGAGUCCCCAUCGAUCAGCUUGGUGCCCCGCAUAACAA
This 16691-nucleotide long non-coding RNA is filed under the name Oryza sativa (Asian cultivated rice). RNAcentral describes it as "long non-coding RNA (OSAT_LNC001252)". Lineage: Eukaryota; Viridiplantae; Streptophyta; Magnoliopsida; Poales; Poaceae. The record is from RNAcentral.